AAUGAACGCUGGCGGCAUGCCUAACACAUGCAAGUCGAACGAAGGCUUCGGCCUUAGUGGCGCACGGGUGCGUAACGCGUGGGAAUCUGCCCUCAGGAUCGGAAUAACAGCGAGAAAUUGCUGCUAAUACCGGAUGAUAUCGCGAGAUCAAAGAUUUAUCGCCUGAGGAUGAGCCCGCGUAGGAUUAGCUAGUUGGUGUGGUAAAGGCGCACCAAGGCGACGAUCCUUAGCUGGUCUGAGAGGAUGAUCAGCCACACUGGGACUGAGACACGGCCCAGACUCCUACGGGAGGCAGCAGUGGGGAAUAUUGGACAAUGGGCGAAAGCCUGAUCCAGCAAUGCCGCGUGAGUGAUGAAGGCCUUAGGGUCGUAAAGCUCUCUUACCCGGGAUGAUAAUGACAGUACCGGGAGAAUAAGCUCCGGCUAACUCCGUGCCAGCCGCCGCCGUAA
Molecule: ribosomal RNA, 449 nt
Filed under: uncultured bacterium
Lineage: Bacteria
Description: partial 16S ribosomal RNA
Rfam family: Bacterial small subunit ribosomal RNA
Source: RNAcentral